GUGGGGAGUCUGAGUACCAACUAGUAGCAGGAUCUUUGGAGAAUACCACCAAAGAGGAUCUGGUCAAACACAAUGCUCGGUGGCACCUUACAUGCUAUAAGUGAACUGAAUUUGGCAAGGUUGGAGAGGAGGAAGUACAUCUCUCAUCAUGAAAAAGUUGAAGAUACUGGGCCAAGUGCCAGCUGUGGGUGAGACUCUCCUUACACUAGUUCUCAUGGCAUGUGUUUCAAGAAGAAGACAUGCUUCGUCGGCGGUAAGCCAGAAGGCAUCUGGUUUGUCAUGUUUGGAGCCAUUGUGUUUGUGGGAGAAAGGGCUCUAGAAUGAUACCCAACUUGACACAUUUCUGAUGACAUUGUAUUAUCACAACUUCCACCAGGCGGAGGACCUGCAGCUUUGGACUGGAGGAGAAGGGCAGUGAGUCCCCCUGCCUCGUUACAGAGGGCAGAGCAAAUAAUGUUGCUCCUGAAAGGGACACAGCACAAGCGGAGAAACCGGUUUCCCCAACAGCCAGGAUAUGUUUAUCACCCUGGACCUGGAGCCAGUAACCCCCGAACUCACCCAAGGCGCGCUCCCAGACCCUGAGGGCACA
Chrysemys picta bellii (western painted turtle) is the source of this 589-nucleotide non-coding RNA. The record is from RefSeq and is a predicted model, not a curated record. Lineage: Eukaryota; Metazoa; Chordata; Testudines; Emydidae.